Long non-coding RNA from Siniperca chuatsi (mandarin fish), 399 nucleotides. RefSeq lists it as uncharacterized. NCBI's taxonomy places the organism in Eukaryota, Metazoa, Chordata, Actinopteri, Centrarchiformes, Sinipercidae. The transcript is spliced from 3 exons. The record is from RefSeq and is a predicted model, not a curated record.
UGCCAACGGUCAAGAAAUAAUCCUUGCCAGGAUCGUUGGUUAGAAUCACAUGUGACAACCGGUGCGUGAUCCUGUCAUCCGCAUGGCACCAGCCCUGGAGCUGUUUAAUCACAGGCGACUGUCAUAAUUUGGUUCCAAGUCACGGGUUUUGGAGCUCUUCAGGGGUCCUUCACAAGGUUCCAAUUCCAGGGACCCUCAGCAAAAUAAGAGAUUUAUUGUCAUCACUAUCAGAGUAGGCGAUAAGCUACUGGUAUGGCUUGUGUUUGAGGCUCCAUCAUAACAAGAAGCACAAGUCACUACCCACACAUCCCCUUGUUUCAUCUCAUCUACGUCUGCUGUUACGCUGACUGAAUGGACUGUUUCUCCUCAAGAUAGAUCAAUGCCCCUUAUUGUUUAAUG